RNAcentral lists this RNase P RNA (308 nucleotides) under human gut metagenome. Its description in RNAcentral is "Bacterial RNase P class A". It matches the Rfam family "Bacterial RNase P class A", at positions 42 to 363 of the family's 367-position model. From Rfam's summary of the family: Ribonuclease P (RNase P) is a ubiquitous endoribonuclease, found in archaea, bacteria and eukarya as well as chloroplasts and mitochondria. Its best characterised activity is the generation of mature 5'-ends of tRNAs by cleaving the 5'-leader elements of precursor-tRNAs. The record is from RNAcentral.
UGAGGAAAGUCCGGGCUCCAUAGAGCAAUGAUGCUGGAUAACGUCCAGUGAGGGAAACCUUAAGGAAAGUGCAACAGAAAAUAACAGCCCUAGUACUUAGGUACUAGAGCAAUGGUGAAAAGGCGAGGUAAGAGCUCACCGCUAGCAUGGUGACAUGCUUAGGUCAAUGUAAACCCCAUCUGGAGCAACACCUAAAAAGAAGGCUAAGGCUGCUCGCCAUCUUCUGAAAUGGUGGCUUGAGACAUAUAGUAAUAUAUGUUCGAGAUAAAUGACUGUCCACGACAGAACCCGGCUUAUAGAUGUGCUUG